GGGGGGUAGAAUUCCAGGUGUAGCGGUGAAAUGCGUAGAGAUCUGGAGGAAUACCGGUGGCGAAGGCGGCCCCCUGGACAAAGACUGACGCUCAGGUGCGAAAGCGUGGGGAGCAAACAGGAUUAGAUACCCUGGUAGUCCACGCCGUAAACGAUGUCUACUUGGAGGUUGUGCCCUUGAGGCGUGGCUUCCGGAGCUAACGCGUUAAGUAGACCGCCUGGGGAGUACGGCCGCAAGGUUAAAACUCAAAUGAAUUGACGGGGGCCCGCACAAGCGGUGGAGCAUGUGGUUUAAUUCGAUGCAACGCGAAGAACC
RNAcentral lists this ribosomal RNA (315 nucleotides) under Salmonella enterica subsp. enterica serovar Havana. RNAcentral describes it as "bacterial SSU rRNA". It matches the Rfam family "Bacterial small subunit ribosomal RNA", at positions 656 to 970 of the family's 1533-position model. The record is from RNAcentral. Lineage: Bacteria; Pseudomonadati; Pseudomonadota; Gammaproteobacteria; Enterobacterales; Enterobacteriaceae.